UUGGAGGGCAAGUCUGGUGCCAGCGGCCGCGGUAAUUCCAGCUCCAAUAGCGUAUAUUAAAGUUGUUGCAGUUAAAAAGCUCGUAGUUGAAUUUCGGGGUUAGUAGGUUGGUCAUGCCACUGGUAUGUACUGGUCUCACUGAUUCCUCCUUCCUGAUGAGCCGUAAUGCCAUUAAUUUGGUGUUGCGAGGAAUCUGGACUGUUACUUUGAAAAAAUUAGAGUGUUUAAAGCAGGCUAACGCUUGAAUACAUUAGCAUGGAAUAAUGAAAUAGGACGUUCGAUCUUAUUUUGUUGGUUUCUAGGAUUGACGUAAUGAUUAAUAGGGAUAGUUGGGGGCAUUAGUAUUCAAUUGUCAGAGGUGAAAUUCUUGGAUUUAUUGAAGACUAACUACUGCGAAAGCAUUUGCCAAGGAUGUUUUCAUUAAUCAAGAACGAAAGUUAGGGGAUCGAAGACGAUCAGAUACCGUCGUAGUCUUAACCAUAAACUAUGCCGACUAGGAAUCGGAUGAUGUUAAUUUUUUAAUGACUCAUUCGGCGCCUUACGGGAAACCAAAGUGUUUGGGUUC
RNAcentral lists this ribosomal RNA (565 nucleotides) under uncultured Glomeromycotina. Its description in RNAcentral is "SSU rRNA". It matches the Rfam family "Eukaryotic small subunit ribosomal RNA", at positions 548 to 1114 of the family's 1831-position model. Lineage: Eukaryota; Fungi; Glomeromycota. The record is from RNAcentral.